UGCAAGUCGAACGGUAGCACAGAGAGCUUGCUCUCGGGUGACGAGUGGCGGACGGGUGAGUAAUGUCUGGGAAACUGCCUGAUGGAGGGGGAUAACUACUGGAAACGGUAGCUAAUACCGCAUAACGUCGCAAGACCAAAGAGGGGGACCUUCGGGCCUCUUGCCAUCAGAUGUGCCCAGAUGGGAUUAGCUAGUAGGUGGGGUAACGGCUCACCUAGGCGACGAUCCCUAGCUGGUCUGAGAGGAUGACCAGCCACACUGGAACUGAGACACGGUCCAGACUCCUACGGGAGGCAGCAGUGGGGAAUAUUGCACAAUGGGCGCAAGCCUGAUGCAGCCAUGCCGCGUGUAUGAAGAAGGCCUUCGGGUUGUAAAGUACUUUCAGCGGGGAGGAAGGUGUUGUGGUUAAUAACCGCAGCAAUUGACGUUACCCGCAGAAGAAGCACCGGCUAACUCCGUGCCAGCAGCCGCGGUAAUACGGAGGGUGCAAGCGUUAAUCGGAAUUACUGGGCGUAAAGCGCACGCAGGCGGUCUGUCAAGUCGGAUGUGAAAUCCCCGGGCUCAACCUGGGAACUGCAUUCGAAACUGGCAGGCUAGAGUCUUGUAGAGGGGGGUAGAAUUCCAGGUGUAGCGGUGAAAUGCGUAGAGAUCUGGAGGAAUACCGGUGGCGAAGGCGGCCCCCUGGACAAAGACUGA
RNAcentral lists this ribosomal RNA (696 nucleotides) under Enterobacter sp. RNAcentral describes it as "bacterial SSU rRNA". It matches the Rfam family "Bacterial small subunit ribosomal RNA", at positions 56 to 743 of the family's 1533-position model. The record is from RNAcentral. RNAcentral also lists the same sequence under 1 other name. Lineage: Bacteria; Pseudomonadati; Pseudomonadota; Gammaproteobacteria; Enterobacterales; Enterobacteriaceae.